Molecule: long non-coding RNA, 648 nt
Filed under: Ursus maritimus (polar bear)
Lineage: Eukaryota; Metazoa; Chordata; Mammalia; Carnivora; Ursidae
Description: lncRNA (ENSUMAG00000021213.1)
Source: RNAcentral
CGUACUCCCUCCGAAGCCACCUCCGUGCCAGCUGCUGGUCUCCAGUCAGUGUGGCCAUCCGGCCCCACUCUGCGCGGGACGUGGGACCUAAUCGUGGCACAGUUUUUCUGAGAAAGUGCAGCCUAGGUGCAGAGCCCCUCCACUUGCAGAUCCAGUCUUCCCACCGAGCUCUGCCACUCCUGCUCACAAGACUUUCCUUCCCCCAGCUGAAUCAUCACCAAGGACUCCACCCCACAAAUUCCUCCUGGAGAAAUGUCAUUCUCUGCCCAUUUCACAGAGCAUCCCCAUGGAGCUGGAUCAAGUGAGCUGGAGGAGACCCAGAAAGCCUUGCACAGGUAACUUGGACCAGGGCUCCAAGACACUAGAAACCUACAGGAACACUGAUGGAUACUGGAAACCCCAGGGACCAAGAUACAAGCAAGUUAAUGAAGUAAGACCUCUUUCUUAGUUUCAUUAGAACUUGCCAGGCCUCUAGGACCAUUUAUUUCCUCUAAGCUUUCCUUUUCCUAGACAUAUUUCAAGUGUUGGAGCUUCCAACAUGAGGAAUGGAAACUAUUUUAAAAAUGGGUUUCUGGGCUAUUUUAUGGCUCCAUAAAAGUUGGGAGCAUUAACCUUUUUUCCUUGAGGUUAAUUUUUCUGAGAUAAAUC